AGUAUUACAUGGCCAAUCUCC
This 21-nucleotide microRNA is filed under the name Dasypus novemcinctus (nine-banded armadillo). The record is from RNAcentral. RNAcentral also lists the same sequence under 6 other names. Lineage: Eukaryota; Metazoa; Chordata; Mammalia; Cingulata; Dasypodidae.